Molecule: long non-coding RNA, 599 nt
Organism: Suricata suricatta (meerkat)
Lineage: Eukaryota; Metazoa; Chordata; Mammalia; Carnivora; Herpestidae
Exons: 2
Source: RefSeq, a predicted model, not a curated record
ACAUGGGGCAGGCUGGCACCUCUCCACUUUGAUGACUACAAGCUCCAGAUGAACUUUCUGCCCUAAUCACUCCAGAGAAGAUCUUCCACCAGGAUUAACAUCUUCAUCCCUGGUGGUGUGCAAGCUGGGAGAUGUUCACCGAGCCUGGGAAAGUCCCGCCAGCCCGAGAUGCAAUCAAGGAGGCACAGAGCCUAUACACAAGUGACUGAGCUACUAUGACUAAGAGAAGUUUCCUUCAAAGGCUAUUGGUUCCCUGAAGGAAACAUAUCAAGCACUAGCAAAGAAAGAAUUUAGGACAUUUUGCUCUCAAGGGGCUCAAUUAUUUCUAAAUAUAUUUCAAAUAAAUGAGACUUUCUUAAACCAUUUAUCACCAUGGCAACUAAGCUGGCAGAGUUGGUGGGAGUUUUAGCUUCUAUCAACUGUGAAAUAUGCUUGUUGCUUGCAAGUCUUUAGGGGGAAAAAAGUGUUCUGUUGAAAAAGUCCAGCAACAAAUUCAUGAAGACUCAUAGGAAAUUAAUGAAUAAAGGGAUGACAAGAGCAUUUGCAAAGAUGUACAAUCUUCCUCUGAGAGUUAAAUAAUAAAAGUCCACUGGACAGGA